AUUGAACGCUGGCGGCAGGCCUAACACAUGCAAGUCGAGCGGAUGAAGGGAGCUUGCUCCUGGAUUCAGCGGCGGACGGGUGAGUAAUGCCUAGGAAUCUGCCUGGUAGUGGGGGAUAACGUCCGGAAACGGGCGCUAAUACCGCAUACGUCCUGAGGGAGAAAGUGGGGGAUCUUCGGACCUCACGCUAUCAGAUGAGCCUAGGUCGGAUUAGCUAGUUGGUGGGGUAAAGGCCUACCAAGGCGACGAUCCGUAACUGGUCUGAGAGGAUGAUCAGUCACACUGGAACUGAGACACGGUCCAGACUCCUACGGGAGGCAGCAGUGGGGAAUAUUGGACAAUGGGCGAAAGCCUGAUCCAGCCAUGCCGCGUGUGUGAAGAAGGUCUUCGGAUUGUAAAGCACUUUAAGUUGGGAGGAAGGGCAGUAAGUUAAUACCUUGCUGUUUUGACGUACCAACAGAAUAAGCACCGCA
This 473-nucleotide ribosomal RNA is filed under the name Pseudomonas aeruginosa. Its description in RNAcentral is "bacterial SSU rRNA". It matches the Rfam family "Bacterial small subunit ribosomal RNA", at positions 30 to 497 of the family's 1533-position model. The record is from RNAcentral. Lineage: Bacteria; Pseudomonadati; Pseudomonadota; Gammaproteobacteria; Pseudomonadales; Pseudomonadaceae.